RNAcentral lists this ribosomal RNA (711 nucleotides) under uncultured Bacteroidales bacterium. RNAcentral describes it as "bacterial SSU rRNA". It matches the Rfam family "Bacterial small subunit ribosomal RNA", at positions 39 to 739 of the family's 1533-position model. Lineage: Bacteria; Pseudomonadati; Bacteroidota; Bacteroidia; Bacteroidales. The record is from RNAcentral.
GCUACAGGCUUAACACAUGCAAGUCGAGGGGCAGCAUGGUCUUAGCUUGCUAAGGCCGAUGGCGACCGGCGCACGGGUGAGUAACACGUAUCCAACCUGCCGUCUACUCUUGGACAGCCUUCUGAAAGGAAGAUUAAUACAAGAUGGCAUCAUGAGUCCGCAUGUUCACAUGAUUAAAGGUAUUCCGGUAGACGAUGGGGAUGCGUUCCAUUAGAUAGUAGGCGGGGUAACGGCCCACCUAGUCUUCGAUGGAUAGGGGUUCUGAGAGGAAGGUCCCCCACAUUGGAACUGAGACACGGUCCAAACUCCUACGGGAGGCAGCAGUGAGGAAUAUUGGUCAAUGGGCGAGAGCCUGAACCAGCCAAGUAGCGUGAAGGAUGACUGCCCUAUGGGUUGUAAACUUCUUUUAUAAAGGAAUAAAGUCGGGUAUGUAUACCCGUUUGCAUGUACUUUAUGAAUAAGGAUCGGCUAACUCCGUGCCAGCAGCCGCGGUAAUACGGAGGAUCCGAGCGUUAUCCGGAUUUAUUGGGUUUAAAGGGAGCGUAGAUGGAUGUUUAAGUCAGUUGUGAAAGUUUGCGGCUCAACCGUAAAAUUGCAGUUGAUACUGGAUAUCUUGAGUGCAGUUGAGGCAGGCGGAAUUCGUGGUGUAGCGGUGAAAUGCUUAGAUAUCACGAAGAACUCCGAUUGCGAAGGCAGCCUGCUAAGCUGCAA